Molecule: long non-coding RNA, 596 nt
Organism: Trichomycterus rosablanca
Lineage: Eukaryota; Metazoa; Chordata; Actinopteri; Siluriformes; Trichomycteridae
Exons: 3
Source: RefSeq, a predicted model, not a curated record
UAUUCUAAAAGAUAUGCAGUGUACACUAUUAUACACAAGUGUUUUACAUACAAACCAGCAUGUAGUGUUCCGUCUGUUCCCCGGUUCCCCCUCUAGGUAGCGUUUAAUGGUUUAUUCCGGUCACGCGAGUACAAUCUGUCGUCUCGAGGUAGAAUCUCAAAUUUGAAUGGCGCGAAACUAACGGCUGUUUUUUUUUUAUAAGAGAAAGAAACGCCUCAGAGAACAACCGGUCUGUUUUCAUGGUUAAUGGCCAGGUGGUCUGAGCGGGAGAAUGCCCUCUCGCAGAGGUGGCACUGGAAGGGCCUGUGUCCCGUGUGCUUCCUGUAGUGGCGCGUCAGCUCGUCGGACCGGGCGAACUUCCAGCCGCAGCCCUCCCAGGUUUCCAAUGAACGAAGGACAGGAAGAAUGAGAACAUGUCUGUGCAAGCUUUGGCGUGGCCAUCAUCCACUUGGCCUCCUGUGGAGCUGCACUGACCCUGCCCGAUUAUAAUGCCUGGUCAGAAGAAUCUGCACGUUCUCACAGUCUCCUAAAUCACUGGCAUGUCAUUCCACCACCAAAACCAAAAGUGCCAUCUUAAUAAAUAGUUGACUAAACUA